ACUUCGAAUUGGUUCCCUCAAGCAUGGCUUCCGAAGCUAACCCUUAAUUCGCCCUCCCCGGGAGUAAGGCCGCAAGGUUAAAACUCAAAUGAAUUACCGGGGGCCGCCCCAAGCGGUGGAGCAUGUGGUUUAUUUUGAUUCAUCGCGAAGAACCUCACAUACUCAUUACAUCCAAAGAACUUUGCAGAGAGGGGUUGGUGCCUUCGGGAACUCUGAGACAGGUGCUGCAUGGCUGUCGUCAGCUCGUGUUGUGAAAUGUUGGGUUAAGUCCCGCAACGAGCGCAACCCUUAUCCUUUGUUGCCAGCGGUUCGGCCGGGAACUCAAAGGAGACUGCCAGUGAUAAACUGGAGGAAGGUGGGGAUGACGUCAAGUCAUCAUGGCCCUUACGAGUAGGGCUACACACGUGCUACAAUGGCGCAUACAAAGAGAAGCGACCUCGCGAGAGCAAGCGGACCUCAUAAAAUGCGUCGUAGUCCGGAUUGGAGUCUGCAACUCGACUCCAUGAAGUCGGAAUCGCUAGUAAUCGUAGAUCAGAAUGCUACGGUGAAUACGUUCCCGGGCCUUGUUCACACCCCCCCUCACAGCAUGGGAGUGGGUUGC
This 601-nucleotide ribosomal RNA is filed under the name Enterobacter sp. Its description in RNAcentral is "bacterial SSU rRNA". It matches the Rfam family "Bacterial small subunit ribosomal RNA", at positions 809 to 1418 of the family's 1533-position model. The record is from RNAcentral. Lineage: Bacteria; Pseudomonadati; Pseudomonadota; Gammaproteobacteria; Enterobacterales; Enterobacteriaceae.